CCCUCCUGCGCCUUCCUGCUCCCCCAGACCCAGGGCAAAGCAUCUUCCCUUCUCUUUGCUUUCCCUUUCCCUCCCCAGCAGCUUGGGGAAUAAAUAAGCUGAGCACGGUCUCCACUCCUUGCCAGGAUCAGUCCUUCUCUUCUCCUCCCUCCUUGUCUUCCACACCUCUGUGCUAGCUCUGCCCACUGGGGCUUGUACAGUCUUCUUGCACAAACCGAGAUGUUCUUCUCUUUCUAGCUCUUUCUUCACCAUUUGCUUUCCAUAGUGGACAAAGCCCUUAUUUGCUCAUUCCCCUUCCACCUACAGUGCCGACUGCUUGGAUGUGUCAUCCCAUUCCUGUAGGUCAGCAGCAAAGUUUGUGUUUUGAAGGAGUGUCUCUAAACCUGCUCUAACGUGCUGUGACUUUUCUGAUGCUGACUUGGCUGUGACUGAGCUCAGGAGCAUACUGAGCAGAGAUGAGUUCGGCAUGUGCCUGUGGCAGGUCCUGAGUGAUGGAGCGAGCAGCCCCCAGGAUGGGAGAUCUGGAGUUGAGCCAGUCUUGGGGCUGCCUGAAUACACAAGUGUGUGCAGUGCUGCCUGGACAGAGACACAUCCAAGGAAAGAAGAGAGUGUAUUCAACAACUAUUCAACAACUCCUCAAGAUGUCAUCCAGGAGACCGUGUUAUGAACCAGGAGCCUAAACAAAGAAUAACUAGAUUGCCU
RNAcentral lists this long non-coding RNA (702 nucleotides) under Anser brachyrhynchus (Pink-footed goose). Its description in RNAcentral is "lncRNA (ENSABRG00000008944.1)". Lineage: Eukaryota; Metazoa; Chordata; Aves; Anseriformes; Anatidae. The record is from RNAcentral.